AUUGAACGCUGGCGACAGGCCUAACACAUGCAAGUCGAGCGGAUGAAGGGAGCUUGCUCCUGGAUUCAGCGGCGGACGGGUGAGUAAUGCCUAGGAAUCUGCCUGGUAGUGGGGGAUAACGUCCGGAAACGGGCGCUAAUACCGCAUACGUCCUGAGGGAGAAAGUGGGGGAUCUUCGGACCUCACGCUAUCAGAUGAGCCUAGGUCGGAUUAGCUAGUUGGUGGGGUAAAGGCCUACCAAGGCGACGAUCCGUAACUGGUCUGAGAGGAUGAUCAGUCACACUGGAACUGAGACACGGUCCAGACUCCUACGGGAGGCAGCAGUGGGGAAUAUUGGACAAUGGGCGAAAGCCUGAUCCAGCCAUGCCGCGUGUGUGAAGAAGGUCUUCGGAUUGUAAAGCACUUUAAGUUGGGAGGAAGGGCAGUAAGUUAAUACCCUGCUGUUUUGACGUUACCAACAGAAUAAGCACCGGCUAACUUCGUG
RNAcentral lists this ribosomal RNA (484 nucleotides) under uncultured bacterium. RNAcentral describes it as "partial 16S ribosomal RNA". It matches the Rfam family "Bacterial small subunit ribosomal RNA", at positions 30 to 507 of the family's 1533-position model. The record is from RNAcentral.